RNAcentral lists this ribosomal RNA (601 nucleotides) under Morchella esculenta. Its description in RNAcentral is "eukaryotic LSU rRNA". It matches the Rfam family "Eukaryotic large subunit ribosomal RNA", at positions 1 to 603 of the family's 3401-position model. Lineage: Eukaryota; Fungi; Ascomycota; Pezizomycetes; Pezizales; Morchellaceae. The record is from RNAcentral.
UUGACCUCGGAUCAGGUAGGGAUACCCGCUGAACUUAAGCAUAUCAAUAAGCGGAGGAAAAGAAACCAACAGGGAUUGCCUCAGUAACGGCGAGUGAAGCGGCAAAAGCUCAAAUUUUAAAGCUGACAUCUUCGGUGUCCGCGUUGUAAUUUUGUGAGGCAUCUCCGGGUAGGGCGCUGGCCUAAGUUCCUUGGAACAGGACGUCACAGAGGGUGAGAAUCCCGUGCUUGGCUGGCUGUCCCCGUCCAUGUGAGGUGUCUUCGACGAGUCGAGUUGUUUGGGAAUGCAGCUCAAAAUGGGUGGUAAAUUUCAUCUAAAGCUAAAUAUUGGUGGGAGACCGAUAGCGCACAAGUAGAGUGAUCGAAAGAUGAAAAGCACUUUGAAAAUAGAGUUAAAAAGUACGUGAAAUUGUUGAAAGGGAAGCGCUUGAGACCAGACUUCGGUAAGGGGUGAUCAGCCGUCCUUUUGGGCGGUGCACUUGCCCCCCUCCGGGCCAGCAUCGGUUGAGGCGGCGGGAUAAAGGUCCCGGGAAUGUGGCUCCUUCACGGGAGUGUUAUAGCCCGGGUGAAUGCCGCCAGCUUCGACCGAGGACCGCACCCGC